GACGAACGCUGGCGGCGUGCUUAACACAUGCAAGUCGAACGGAAAGGCCCUGCUGUUGUUGGGUGCUCGAGUGGCGAACGGUUGAGUAACACGUGAGUAACCUUCCCUUGACUUUGGGAUAACUUCAGGAAACUGGGGCUAAUACCGGAUAGGAGCUCCUGCUGCAUGGUGGUGGUUGGAAAGUUUCGGCGGUUGGGUAUGGACUCGCGGCUUAUCAGCUUGUUGGUGGGGUAGUGGCUUACCAAGGCUUUGACGGGUAGCCGGCCUGAGAGGGUGACCGGCCACAUUGGGACUGGGAUACGGCCCAGACUCCUACGGGAGGCAGAAGUGGGGAAUAUUGCAAAAUGGGCGGAAGCCUGAUGCAGCAACGCCGCGUGCGGGAUGACGGCCUUCGGGUUGUAAACCGUUUUCGCCUGUGACGAAGCGUGAGUGACGGUAAUGGGUAAAGAAGCACCGGCUAACUACGUG
Molecule: ribosomal RNA, 468 nt
Filed under: uncultured bacterium
Lineage: Bacteria
Description: partial 16S ribosomal RNA
Rfam family: Bacterial small subunit ribosomal RNA
Source: RNAcentral